GGGUUGUGAGGUUAAGCGACUAAGCGUACACGGUGGAUGCCCUGGCAGUCAGAGGCGAUGAAGGGCGUGCUAAUCUGCGAUAAGCGCCGGUAAGGUGAUAUGAACCGUUAUAACCGGCGAUACCCGAAUGGGGAAACCCAGUGUGAUUCGUCACACUAUCAUUAACUGAAUCCAUAGGUUAAUGAGGCGAACCGGGGGAACUGAAACAUCUAAGUACCCCGAGGAAAAGAAAUCAACCGAGAUUCCCCCAGUAGCGGCGAGCGAACGGGGAGGAGCCCAGAGCCUGAAUCAGCAUGUGUGUUAGUGGAAGCGUCUGGAAAGGCGCGCGAUACAGGGUGACAGCCCCGUACACAAAAGCGCAUGUGCUGUGAGCUCGAUGAGUAGGGCGGGACACGUGGUAUCCUGUCUGAAUAUGGGGGGACCAUCCUCCAAGGCUAAAUACUCCUGACUGACCGAUAGUGAACCAGUACCGUGAGGGAAAGGCGAAAAGAACCCCGGCGAGGGGAGUGAAAAAGAACCUGAAACCGUGUACGUACAAGCAGUGGGAGCACAGGUUUACCUGUGUGACUGCGUACCUUUUGUAUAAUGGGUCAGCGACUUAUAUUCUGUAGCAAGGUUAACCGAAUAGGGGAGCCGGAGGGAAACCGAGUCUUAAUUGGGCGUUAAGUUGCAGGGUAUAGACCCGAAACCCGGUGAUCUAGCCAUGGGCAGGUUGAAGGUUGGGUAACACUAACUGGAGGACCGAACCGACUAAUGUUGAAAAAUUAGCGGAUGACCUGUGGCUGGGGGUGAAAGGCCAAUCAAACCGGGAGAUAGCUGGUUCUCCCCGAAAGCUAUUUAGGUAGCGCCUCGUGAAUUCAUCUCCGGGGGUAGAGCACUGUUUCGGCUAGGGGGCCAUCCCGGCUUACCAACCCGAUGCAAACUGCGAAUACCGGAGAAUGUUAUCACGGGAGACACACGGCGGGUGCUAACGUCCGUCGUGAAGAGGGAAACAACCCAGACCGCCAGCUAAGGUCCCAAAGUCAUGGUUAAGUGGGAAACGAUGUGGGAAGGCCCAGACAGCCAGGAUGUUGGCUUAGAAGCAGCCAUCAUUUAAAGAAAGCGUAAUAGCUCACUGGUCGAGUCGGCCUGCGCGGAAGAUGUAACGGGGCUAAACCAUGCACCGAAGCUGCGGCAGCGAACGUAUCACUUAAAGCGAUUCAGCGGGUUACGAUUGACGGAGCGAAGCGACGUCAAAGCGUAUACAAAGUCGAGUCGGUUUAAGGAUACGUUCGUUGGGUAGGGGAGCGUUCUGUAAGCCUGUGAAGGUGGCCUGUGAGGGUUGCUGGAGGUAUCAGAAGUGCGAAUGCUGACAUAAGUAACGAUAAAGCGGGUGAAAAGCCCGCUCGCCGGAAGACCAAGGGUUCCUGUCCAACGUUAAUCGGGGCAGGGUGAGUCGACCCCUAAGGCGAGGCCGAAAGGCGUAGUCGAUGGGAAACGGGUUAAUAUUCCCGUACUUGGUGUUACUGCGAAGGGGGGACGGAGAAGGCUAUGUUGGCCGGGCGACGGUUGUCCCGGUUUAAGCGUGUAGGUGUGUGUUCCAGGUAAAUCCGGUUCACUUUAACACUGAGGCGUGACGACGAGGCACUACGGUGCUGAAGCAACAAAUGCCCUGCUUCCAGGAAAAGCCUCUAAGCAUCAGGUAACAUCAAAUCGUACCCCAAACCGACACAGGUGGUCAGGUAGAGAAUACCAAGGCGCUUGAGAGAACUCGGGUGAAGGAACUAGGCAAAAUGGUGCCGUAACUUCGGGAGAAGGCACGCUGACACGUAGGUGAAGUGAUUUACUCACGGAGCUGAAGUCAGUCGAAGAUACCAGCUGGCUGCAACUGUUUAUUAAAAACACAGCACUGUGCAAACACGAAAGUGGACGUAUACGGUGUGACGCCUGCCCGGUGCCGGAAGGUUAAUUGAUGGGGUCAGCGCAAGCGAAGCUCCUGAUCGAAGCCCCGGUAAACGGCGGCCGUAACUAUAACGGUCCUAAGGUAGCGAAAUUCCUUGUCGGGUAAGUUCCGACCUGCACGAAUGGCGUAAUGAUGGCCAGGCUGUCUCCACCCGAGACUCAGUGAAAUUGAACUCGCUGUGAAGAUGCAGUGUACCCGCGGCAAGACGGAAAGACCCCGUGAACCUUUACUAUAGCUUGACACUGAACAUUGAGCCUUGAUGUGUAGGAUAGGUGGGAGGCUUUGAAGCGUGGACGCCAGUCUGCGUGGAGCCAACCUUGAAAUACCACCCUUUAAUGUUUGAUGUUCUAACGUGGACCCGUAAUCCGGGUUGCGGACAGUGUCUGGUGGGUAGUUUGACUGGGGCGGUCUCCUCCUAAAGAGUAACGGAGGAGCACGAAGGUUGGCUAAUCCUGGUCGGACAUCAGGAGGUUAGUGCAAUGGCAUAAGCCAGCUUGACUGCGAGCGUGACGGCGCGAGCAGGUGCGAAAGCAGGUCAUAGUGAUCCGGUGGUUCUGAAUGGAAGGGCCAUCGCUCAACGGAUAAAAGGUACUCCGGGGAUAACAGGCUGAUACCGCCCAAGAGUUCAUAUCGACGGCGGUGUUUGGCACCUCGAUGUCGGCUCAUCACAUCCUGGGGCUGAAGUAGGUCCCAAGGGUAUGGCUGUUCGCCAUUUAAAGUGGUACGCGAGCUGGGUUUAGAACGUCGUGAGACAGUUCGGUCCCUAUCUGCCGUGGGCGCUGGAGAACUGAGGGGGGCUGCUCCUAGUACGAGAGGACCGGAGUGGACGCAUCACUGGUGUUCGGGUUGUCAUGCCAAUGGCACUGCCCGGUAGCUAAAUGCGGAAGAGAUAAGUGCUGAAAGCAUCUAAGCACGAAACUUGCCCCGAGAUGAGUUCUCCCUGAGACUUAGAGUCUCCUGAAGGAACGUUGAAGACGACGACGUUGAUAGGCCGGGUGUGUAAGCGCAGCGAUGCGUUGAGCUAACCGGUACUAAUGAACCGUGAGGCUUAACCUUACAACGCCGAAG
This 3010-nucleotide ribosomal RNA is filed under the name Salmonella enterica. RNAcentral's name for it is "bacterial LSU rRNA". It matches the Rfam family "Bacterial large subunit ribosomal RNA". The record is from RNAcentral. Lineage: Bacteria; Pseudomonadati; Pseudomonadota; Gammaproteobacteria; Enterobacterales; Enterobacteriaceae.